RNAcentral lists this transfer RNA (76 nucleotides) under Clytia hemisphaerica. Its description in RNAcentral is "tRNA-Undet for anticodon ???". It matches the Rfam family "tRNA". From Rfam's summary of the family: Transfer RNA (tRNA) molecules are approximately 80 nucleotides in length. Their secondary structure includes four short double-helical elements and three loops (D, anti-codon, and T loops). Further hydrogen bonds mediate the characteristic L-shaped molecular structure. tRNAs have two regions of fundamental functional importance: the anti-codon, which is responsible for specific mRNA codon recognition, and the 3' end, to which the tRNAs corresponding amino acid is attached (by aminoacyl-tRNA synthetases). tRNAs cope with the degeneracy of the genetic code in two manners: having more than one tRNA (with a specific anti-codon) for a particular amino acid; and 'wobble' base-pairing, i.e. permitting non-standard base-pairing at the 3rd anti-codon position. The record is from Rfam by way of RNAcentral. Lineage: Eukaryota; Metazoa; Cnidaria; Hydrozoa; Leptothecata; Clytiidae.
GGAUCGGUAGCUCAGUGGUAUAGAGCAAUAGCAUUUAAAGUGCUAGAGGUAGUGGGAUCAAAACCCACCCGAUCCA